This 498-nucleotide ribosomal RNA is filed under the name uncultured bacterium. RNAcentral describes it as "partial 16S ribosomal RNA". It matches the Rfam family "Bacterial small subunit ribosomal RNA", at positions 28 to 507 of the family's 1533-position model. The record is from RNAcentral.
GACGAACGCUGGCGGCGUGCCUAAUACAUGCAAGUCGAGCGGACGAAUCGAAAGCUUGCUUUUGAUUCGUUAGCGGCGGACGGGUGAGUAACACGUGGGCAACCUGCCCUGUAGACGGGGAUAACACCGAGAAAUCGGUGCUAAUACCGGAUAACACGAAAUGUCGCAUGACGUUUCGUUGAAAGACGGCUCAAGCUGUCGCUACAGGAUGGGCCCGGGGCGCAUUAGCUAGUUGGUGAGGUAACGGCUCACCAAGGCGACGAUGCGUAGCCGACCUGAGAGGGUGAUCGGCCACACUGGAACUGAGACACGGCCCAGACUCCUACGGGAGGCAGCAGUAAGGAAUCUUCCGCAAUGGACGAAAGCCUGACGGAGCAACGCCGCGUGAGCGAAGAAGGCCUUCGGGUCGUAAAGCUCUGUUGUUAGGGAAGAACAAGUAACGCAGUAACUGGCGUUACCGUGACGGUACCUAACGAGAAAGCCACGGCUAACUACGUG